GUACUUACUAUUUCAGGAAGUUUGGCUCCUGCUUUUUUCUGUGGUCUGAAUCCAUUGUAUUAAUGAAUUUCCUAUAUGUUGCUGGAGAAUCACUUCUAGCAUCUUUACUGAGGAAUCACUGUCAGUCCCUAAUACUUUGGUGAAACCCUGGCCUGAAGUCUCCUCUUUCAUCCCAAAGAUUAGAAAAGGAUUAAAGGAAAGAAGAGAAGGCAGAAUGGAUCCAGCGGCGGACCUACUGCAGGUGGAUCGCAUCGGGCUGUUUUUAAUCAUUGAAAGCUCUCAAAGGCUCGCCUUCGCUGGGGUAGACCGCGCGAACUUGGGAUCUACUCCAGCUCAGAAACCGAAGAAACGUCUCUUAUUACCCUUUCUUCAGAUUGCUCAAAUCCAGGGCAACAUCUUUUGCUGAUGGACUGAGGAGGGGGUUAAAGAAUGAUUUAGAGUGAAUUCCAGAAAGAAUAAUCUGAUCCCCCUGGAGGAGGACACAGGAUCUGGAUCAGAUGGGCUGUGGAGCCCGGGGAGGAAAUUGUGAGUACGUGCUCUUGAUUGAAUAUCAUUAUCUUCCUGUUGUCUAGGAAGAUGAUUGUUAUAAUUAGCAACAAAUGUCAUGGGUGACU
Long non-coding RNA from Fukomys damarensis (Damara mole-rat), 614 nucleotides. RefSeq lists it as uncharacterized. The record is from RefSeq and is a predicted model, not a curated record. NCBI's taxonomy places the organism in Eukaryota, Metazoa, Chordata, Mammalia, Rodentia, Bathyergidae. The transcript has 3 exons.